This 250-nucleotide long non-coding RNA is filed under the name Panax ginseng (ginseng). Its description in RNAcentral is "long non-coding RNA (PGIN_LNC018979)". Lineage: Eukaryota; Viridiplantae; Streptophyta; Magnoliopsida; Apiales; Araliaceae. The record is from RNAcentral.
CUCCAUCUGAGAAUGUGGCCACGGAACCAAAGGAAACCACAACCGUAGGUGAACCUGACAAAGAGUAAUGUUGUUAAUAUCCUUGUAAUGCAAUUGGGAAGGAGGUGAAAUGUUGUCUUUGUGAUGAAAGAAUGAUAAUUUGGUGCCUAUGUUUAUCUUAUUCACAUUUGUGUUACUUUAUUUUCCUAGCAUAGGGCAUAACUUGAAUGUUCAGUUUGUUGUAUUAAAUAAUGAAUACUGCGUGUUGGGG